GCUGGUGUAGCUCAGUUGGUAGAGCAGCUGAUUUGUAAUCAGCAGGUCGGGGGUUCAAGUCCCUUCACCAGCUCCA
This 76-nucleotide transfer RNA is filed under the name Aliarcobacter butzleri. RNAcentral's name for it is "tRNA-Thr". It matches the Rfam family "tRNA". Rfam says of the family: Transfer RNA (tRNA) molecules are approximately 80 nucleotides in length. The record is from RNAcentral. Lineage: Bacteria; Pseudomonadati; Campylobacterota; Epsilonproteobacteria; Campylobacterales; Arcobacteraceae. RNAcentral also lists the same sequence under 9 other names.